GAUCUCCUCAGAUGUUCCUCAGCGAAGGCUGGGGAUAGACGUCUAACAGGAGCUGGAGCGGUCAGCCUCUCCUCGACGGUACACGAGCUGGGAGUCCUCAUUCGCGGCCCUGGGGUCACCCUGAACCCCGCGCCUUGCGUCCUGAUCGCCGAGCUCAGCCUGCCAACCUCACACCUGCCCCACGUCGGACCGGUUGCUGACCAGCAUCCCAAAAGGAGUGAAAGAAAAAACACUGAGAAUUUUACGAUGGUCCUUGUUGCGACAUUUCGACUUUACAAUGGCAGAAGACCAGACGACUUCAUGGAGUAAGUCUGCCAGACAGUCCUGCCUCAGGCUCCAGGCUUCCAGAUGGUAACAUUAACCAGGAACUGACCAGGUGGUUGGAAGAUGCUUGGAAAGACGGAUAACCGGUAUCAAUGUUGGUUUCCAAGGCUACUUCAAACAAUCUGGAAAACCUCCAUCAUCUACUUUGCACUGAAAUAGACAUACUCCCAGGUAAUGCUUGUUUAGGGAAUUCACACAAGAAGGCAUUUUGUUCUACCAACCCAUGCAGAAAAAAUAUUUAUCUCAAUCAUUAAUCAAGAGAGGACCCCUUACUGUACUCCGGAAAGUCCAUAAAAGCUGACAUGUAACUUAGAAAAGUCAGUACCUUCGCUCUCUCCAGCGACAAAGUAAAUGCGUCUCAACUCUUGUAGUGCGACAAGCAGAGCAUUGUGCUAACACCACAGGUUCUGUGUUCGAAUCCCAGGGAGCGUACAUAAAUUAUGACCCUUCCCUCUACUGUAAGCUGCUUUAGAUCAAAGCAUAAACUAAAUACAUCAGAGAAUAAUCAGUAUAGCGAAGUGAUUUUAGAAUGAGGAACUCAGAGAUACACAAACGUCUUGAUAAAGAGAUGAAACACACAGUCCUCCUAAUUCUUACAAUGAAAUGAAUCUGCUCUUCAUCAUAAAUAUAUUUACUUCACAACCUCCAAAGCCACAUUCUGACACAUGUCCUGUUGUCCUUUUUCAAGGCUGGGAACAAAUUUAUCCAGACUGAUGUAUAUUCAAAACUAAUCAUUGCUGUGUAAAAUGUUACAAAUGUCAAAAUUCCCACUCGGUCAAUAUGAUGAUUUACUGCAUUGUAGCAGCUAAGAUCCAGAAUCCAUCUGUCCCUGAUUAAUGAGCUGAAUAAAUAAAGGAUUUGCUCUCGCUCUCCUAAAA
Brienomyrus brachyistius is the source of this 1202-nucleotide long non-coding RNA. RefSeq lists it as uncharacterized. The record is from RefSeq and is a predicted model, not a curated record. The transcript has 4 exons. NCBI's taxonomy places the organism in Eukaryota, Metazoa, Chordata, Actinopteri, Osteoglossiformes, Mormyridae.